GAUGAACGCUGGCGGUGUGCCUAAUACAUGCAAGUCGAGCGAACGCACGAGAAGCUCGUUUUCCUGCUGUUAGCGGCGGGCGGGCGAGUAACACGUGGAUAACCUACCUAUAUGACUGGGAUAACUUCGGGAAACCGCUGCUAAUACCGGCUCAUAUUUCGAACCGCAUGGAUCAAAAGUUAAUCACGGUUUUCCUGCUACUUAUAGAUGGUUCCGAGCUGCAUGAGCUAGUUGGUAAGGUAACGGCUUACCAAGGAAACGAUGCGUAGCCGACCUGAGAGGGUGAGCAGCCACACUGGAACUGAGACACGGUCCAGACUCCUACGGGAGGCAGCAGUAGGGAAUCUUCCACAAUGGGCGAAAGCCUGACGCAGCAACGCCGCGUGAGUGAUGAAGGUCUUCGGGUCGUAAAGCUCUGUUAUUAGGUAAGAACAGAUGUGUAUGUAACUGUGGACGUCUUGACGGUACCUAAUCAGAAAGCCACGGCUAACUCCGUG
This 497-nucleotide ribosomal RNA is filed under the name uncultured bacterium. RNAcentral's name for it is "partial 16S ribosomal RNA". It matches the Rfam family "Bacterial small subunit ribosomal RNA", at positions 28 to 507 of the family's 1533-position model. The record is from RNAcentral.